AAUCGAAACUUAAAAGAACAAUUUCUGCACUAAAAACACAAUACCAAUAUUUUUUACAAUAACACAUUCGACAUGUACUUCCAAGAGUACACACCGACCGCUAUUUUCAAAGCGAAUGUGUAGAGUGAAAAUUUCAAACAAUAAAUACAGUAAUCAAAUGGAACGGGAUUUUAACGUAGUGUGCAAUUUGGAAGUGAUAAGAGUGAUUUAUUUUUCAACUUGUCCAUCUCCGUAAUAUACGUUUAGUUGUGAGAUGUUCACAGUUUUCCCCAAAAAACAGGCCUUCACGUGCGAAAUCAAAGUGGGUGGGGAACGUGUAUUUCGAGUCGCUGGAACUUCAUAAUGAAGCUGCUUUUGUGCAAUAUUCAGCGACGUUACCAGCUGUGUGUUAGACGAAACGAAAAUGCUUUGGUUUUGCAUCGUGUUUUGAGACUGUCAGGGUGACAUGAUGGAUUAAUUGCUGUUUGACUGACAAUAAAUGAACAUGUUUGUGUUUGGAGAUUGCUGAGGUUAAUAUCUUCACAAUUGGGAAAUCCCAACAUAAGUUGACUGCCAGUUUGACCACUGAUCUGCAUAAUAUCAGUGGGAGAGCAUGCUGAAUCCCGCAGCUUCUGCACCAUAUGUUUCCUGGCCGAGUGGUUGAAAGUUGCGAGCACACAUUCCAUGGGUGAUGAUAUCAACCAAAAUUCUUGGCGGCACAGUUCUACCCUCGUCAGUUGCACUUGUCCGAGUCUUUCUCUGCCUCUCAACCAACUCGAGAUAUUCCCCCCCCCAACUGCAUCCCGGCACAGCUUCACAUCAACCCAUCUAAUUAAUUUGUCGGAAAGGUUGACCACACAAAUUUCCUGUUUGGUUGUGGAGAUAGAAUCAUUUUUUUGUGAAGGUUUGAUUUCAGACACUUAAAAAUUGAAAUUGUCAUGUAUUAUUAGGCAUGGCAGGCAUUAGCAAAGCAUCUCAAUCAAGUAUUAAUUAUUUUACUUUGUCAAUGUUAAUUCAUUGUGUAUGCUAUUCACCUGUUUGCCUUGCUUUUUAUAAGAAUGACACAAAAAAGGAAAGCAUUUGUAAAGUAUUAGUUAUUUUUGUUUUAUAUAUUCUUAGACGAGAUGUUUAGUGAAU
This is a long non-coding RNA of Dreissena polymorpha, 1116 nucleotides long. RefSeq lists it as uncharacterized. Lineage: Eukaryota; Metazoa; Mollusca; Bivalvia; Myida; Dreissenidae. The record is from RefSeq and is a predicted model, not a curated record. The transcript is spliced from 3 exons.